GGGACGACCCCGACAGGUGGGCCCCACCUGUCGGUGGCUCGGGCGCGCGCGCGCGGUCGGGCGCGGUUGGACGGGGCCGGUUCGGCCCAAAAUGGCCGGCCCGGUCCAUUUGCUCCCUUUUUUUUUCUUUUACCCUUUUCUUUUUCUGUUUUUCUCAUUUCUUGGAUACCUUUUGAGUUUGAACUCCAAAUUGGUCCAAAUAAAUUCCAGAAAAUUUGUAAAAUCAUGUUCUACCAAGAUACAACUUUUGGAAGUAGUGUCUUUUCAAAAUAAAAUAUGUAAAAACUACAUUUGUCCUAUAAAUGCUUUAGGGCCAUAUAACUAUUUAAAUAAAAUACUUUUUCAACUCCAAAUAAUUAUCCAAAAAUUAUGGGAUAGCUCAUAUAUGCAAUAAACCCCUUUCAUACUUGAACCUUAAUGGUUUGAAGAUCCAAAGUUCAAAUGGGUGUAAAUCCUAGGGUUUAAAAUGAAACAAAAAUCUUUCCAAAGCCCUUUUGAGAUUAAAAUUUGAAUUCAAAUAUGCAAUUGUGGCAUGAUGCUUAUGAAUGCAAUGCUCAUGUAAAGGUUUGAAAUUUUGGGAUGUUACAGACCUAACCCCCUUAAGAUGAAUCUCGUCCUCGGGAUUCGGUGUGGCUAGCAAAGAGGUGUGGGUGGUCUUCUCGAAGAUCAUCUUCGCGUUCCCAAGUGGCUUCUUCUUCUGUGUGAUGGUCCCACUGAACCUUGCAGAACUUGAUGGUCUU
RNAcentral lists this long non-coding RNA (740 nucleotides) under Brachypodium distachyon (stiff brome). RNAcentral's name for it is "long non-coding RNA (BDIS_LNC000754)". The record is from RNAcentral. Lineage: Eukaryota; Viridiplantae; Streptophyta; Magnoliopsida; Poales; Poaceae.